Molecule: ribosomal RNA, 385 nt
Filed under: uncultured eukaryote
Lineage: Eukaryota
Description: SSU rRNA
Rfam family: Eukaryotic small subunit ribosomal RNA
Source: RNAcentral
AGCUCCAAUAGCAUAUACCAAAGUUGUUGCGGUUAAAAAGCUCGUAGUUGGAUCUCAGUUUGACCUGCGUGGUCCGCUUGCCGGCGGUUACUGCGUAGGCAAACAAGAACAGCAGACUGUCUCGCAAUGCUCUUCACCGGGUGUUGUGAGCAAUCUGUACAUUUACUUUGAACAAAUUAGAGUGCUCAAAGCAGUCUUUAAACGACCGAAUAAUCUUGCAUGGAAUAAUGGAAUAGGAUCUCGAUUCUAUUUUGUUGGUCUUCUCGAAUCUGAGAUAAUGAUUAAGAGGGACAGACGGGGGCAUUCGUAUUGCAGCGCUAGAGGUGAAAUUCUUGGACCGUUGCAAGACGUACAACAGCGAAAGCAUUUGCCAAGAAUGUUUUCA